RNAcentral lists this ribosomal RNA (409 nucleotides) under bacterium. Its description in RNAcentral is "partial 16S ribosomal RNA". It matches the Rfam family "Bacterial small subunit ribosomal RNA", at positions 355 to 776 of the family's 1533-position model. The record is from RNAcentral.
UGGGGAAUAUUGCACAAUGGGCGAAAGCCUGAUGCAGCGACGCCGCGUGAGGGAUGACGGCCUUCGGGUUGUAAACCUCUUUCAGUAGGGACGAAGCGCAAGCUACGGUACCUGCAGAAUAAGCACCGGCUAACUACGUGCCAGCAGCCGCGGUAAUACGUAGGGUGCGAGCGUUGUCCGGAAUUACUGGGCGUAAAGAGCUCGUAGGCGGUUUGUCACGUCGGCUGUGAAAUCCUAACGCUUAACCCUGGACGUGCAGGCGAUACGGGUUGACUUGAGUACUACGGGGGAGACUGGAAUUUCUGGUGUAGCGGUGGAAUGCAGAGAUGUCAGGAAGAACACCGAUGGCGAAGGCAGGUCUCUGGGUAGUAACUGACGCUGAGGAGCGAAAGCAUGGGUAGCGAACAGG